RNAcentral lists this long non-coding RNA (918 nucleotides) under Homo sapiens (human). RNAcentral describes it as "non-protein coding VIM-AS1:1". Lineage: Eukaryota; Metazoa; Chordata; Mammalia; Primates; Hominidae. The record is from RNAcentral.
UUCUCCCGGAGGCGCAUGAUGUCCUCGGCCAGGUUGUCGCGCUCCACCUCGACGCGGGCUUUGUCGUUGGUUAGCUGGUCCACCUGCCGGCGCAGCUCCCGCAUCUCCUCCUCGUAGAGGUCCCCCAGGCGCGACUUGCCUUGGCCCUUGAGCUGCUCGAGCUCGGCCAGCAGGAUCUUAUUCUGCUGCUCCAGGAAGCGCACCUUGUCGAUGUAGUUGGCGAAGCGGUCAUUCAGCUCCUGCAGCUCCACCUUCUCGUUGGUGCGGGUGUUCUUGAACUCGGUGUUGAUGGCGUCGGCCAGCGAGAAGUCCACCGAGUCCUGCAGGAGCCGCACCCCGGGCACGCUGCUCCGCAGGCGCACGGCAGAGGAGCGCGUGGCAUACACGCCGCCCGGGGACGAGGCGUAGAGGCUGCGGCUGGUGCUGGGGCGCAGCGCGCUGCCCAGGCUGUAGGUGCGGGUGGACGUAGUCACGUAGCUCCGGCUGGAGCUCGGCCGGCUCGCGGUGCCCGGGCCGCCGAACAUCCUGCGGUAGGAGGACGAGGACACGGACCUGGUGGACAUGGCUGCGGAGGGUGGCGAUGGCCUGGGCGGCGGCGGUGGCGCGGACUGGCUCCCGGAGAAGAGGCGAACGAGGGCGCGACAGCAAAGCUCCCUUUGGAUGACAUAGAUUUAUUACUUAGUAGUAUAUUAUGUAUUGGCUGUCCCACAUUUUGAAAUUUAAUGGACUCGUGGUGAUCAGAAUAAAAGAAGCCUUCGAUGUGAGGCCCAGGCAUUGAGUACCAUGUGUGCGAUUCACAAGCCUUGGCAUCUGAACAAUUUUUUGGAAGGAUCCAUCAGGACAACACGUCGGGGGUGUACUAGUGAAGUGAUUUUCCAAAUGUGCUACUCAGACCUGUAGCAUCAGCAUCACCGGAUA